Molecule: long non-coding RNA, 4108 nt
Organism: Athalia rosae (coleseed sawfly)
Lineage: Eukaryota; Metazoa; Arthropoda; Insecta; Hymenoptera; Athaliidae
Exons: 8
Source: RefSeq, a predicted model, not a curated record
AAAACAUCGCACGAUAAACCGCGUCGUCAUUUUCAAUACAAAAUUGUGCGCUUCUUGCGAUUUCAGGUGCGACGUCCCCAGGGAAUCCAAAAUACCGUGGAAAAAGGGGGUUCAAACCCAAGAAGGAACGGAAUAAAGAAGACUCGCUUGCGUUUAAUCCACAUUUACAAAGAUUUUAUUCAUAAUUCUCGACGAAGUCAAUAGAGUUUUGAAUUACCUGAAACCUGCUUCGGAUUAUUAGUCCGGCAACGAAGUCCGAGGAAACGAAGCGGGAGGAAAAUACAAGUUGCCAAGAAAAUAAAAUCUUCAAGGAAACGCGACCGUCACCCGCGAACUUCGACUAGGAAAAUUGGAGCGAAAGAUUUUCCAUUUGGUAUGGGUGAGCGUACCGCACAUCCGGCAGCGGGAGCUUUCGUUUUAUCGAUAGAGAAGUAUUAUUUUAUUAUAGGGGGAUAAAAUCGAUCGCAUUGUAACAGAAAUGGGCAUAAUAUGAGCGGAAAAGACUCUGACAGGACUCUUAAUCGUUUUAGGGGGCAUCCUGCUCUUUCCAACGUCGAACCUAUAGGUAAAUAUGGAGACAAAAAGUCGUCGUCAAUUAUGCGGGACAGAGAAGUGGAAAAUGAAGAGAAAAGGGAACGAAAAUUGAUAGGAAUAGACGGAGGAAUGGAAAUGGGACGUACAUUGAUAUUGUAAAACCUGAGAGUAUUUUAUUGUUGAGAAGCUGAAUAGAAUAUCACAACGUGGACCUAUAAUAGUGGCCAGAGCUGCACAUCCGUAGAAGAAGAAGAACGGACGCAAUUUAUAACCCGUAAAAUAGAUUUUUCUAUCUCCUUUCGGAUACGAUCCACACGAAACUUACAUCUACAUAUACAUAUGUCGUAACGGUUUUCGUUACUUCCGAGGCCACCCGGUGCACCGCAGCUUUGUAAAAAUAAAGCUAGUUCCCUCGAAGGACGCGAUUCUCUGGUCCUUAUUUUAAAAUACUUUUGCGACUCGGAGACCGGAAGCAGCGUAUGACCACACAUCUCAUUAUUCCAGGGAAAAAAUUCUUAUCGCCAUGGUCGAGUUUCUUUUACUUUACUCAAAAAAUUAUUUCAUCUCAUCUCACUCUCCAGUCGUUUGCUUUCUUCGUCUCACCGUUUAUUGUGGUUAAACUAAAAAGUCAAGUUUCAGAGCUCGUUAUUAUUAUUUUUUCUCCUCUUUUUCCAGAUAAAAUUUCUUCCUGCGGGUUCCGCAGCUGUGCGACUGCAGACUGCGUAAAGCGAAUGAAAUUUUGUGGCAGAUUCCCGCAUGACGUAUCGUGUUCUUUACUUCCGUUCCUUUGUUUGCUCCAAACACGUGGAGGAUAAUAAAAUAGAAAAGAGAAAGAAAAAAGAUCGGUGGAAAGAAGUAUAUGCACAUAUUGGCUGUAUACUUCCGAUUACUUCCCACCUCAGAUAUGCUUCAAACUUGCGAAAAAAGACUCGAGGCUGAAAAAUAGGAAUUCGGAGGUCUGGAGGAGAAAAGGAGGAAAUGAAAGGGAAGAAUUUGGGCAAGGUCGCUCCGAUGGCGGUGCGACUGAACAUCGAUUGUUAACGAGUCAAGGAUUUUCUCGCCGUACACAUAGUUACGCCAUGGAAAGUCAUUGCCACCGGAGUUUCGUAGUUUGAUCGGCGUCACGCGUCGCCGAAUACCCCCGCCCCGCCCCCGCCCCCGCCCCCGCCUGGGUGUAAUUGGAUUUUUAUCGUUAUUGCGAAAAUCGUUAGUCCGCUGAUUUUCAAGGUCAAAUAUACCCGCGUUCGCUCCGCAACGCCAGCGGACAACAGGUGACGCGCGAUGUCCCCCGCGUGUACUCACAAAGCGAUUCUGAUUCUGUGAGUCAUGGAAAACCUAACGGUACGCAGGUCUGUGCGCGUUUGAAAAAAGAAAUUGGAGAGAAAAAAAAAGAAAUUGAAUUAAAAAACGCCGUCCCAUCGCCGGUGCUCGUGUUAUCGUUGAAAUUAUUGUUAUCGCGUUAGCGUGGAGACGAGUGACGUUAGCUAGAGAUGGAAAUCAUAAUCGCGCCCGGAUCACGUGGGACGCGGUCUUCGACAUUUUUUAAUUUCUUUAUAUUUCCUACAGCCAGCUCCUACGGACACGCGGCUCGCUCUCGUGAGUUUCUUCAACUCCCUCGUCAUAUUUAUACAUAUGUAUACAUAUGUAUGUGUAUACCACAUGGAAACGCAUCGUUUUAAUUCCCUUUCGAGAUCCUCUUACCGCAUCCAUUUUAUGAAACGCGAUUACGUUGAUAUAUUUCAACGAAUAAUAUAAUGGUCGUUCUUCACCGCUGGUUAUUUGGAGGGAUAAAAAUUCCCGACUAAUUUUCUUACUUUCUUUCUCUCUUCUGUUUCAUCUUUCUUGUCCCGGUUAUCUGUGGGGUAUUCCAUGCCAAAUCGACCACUUUUCAAACCGACCCCUUUAGAUUUAACUGACAAUGAAAGUUUUCUGUUCUUUUCUACCCUUUGCAAGAAAAAGAAAUUGUCAAAUUUUCUAAAAUAAAAAGAAAACAUUUUGUUUUCAUUUUCGUAAACUCUAUUUCUACCAUAAAAUAAAUCUUAUUCAACUAUUUUAUGAUAGAAAUAAAGUUUACAAAAAAAAAAAAACACAUUUGACAAUUUUUUUUUCAAUUAAAUUAAAAAAAAAUAUUAAAAAAAAAUCGGCCCACUCCGGGAUGAGUGGGAUAGUUGUCAAAUUGAUUGAAGUUUUUUUUUAGAAAAAAAAAAAACUUCUAAACUGUGGCAAACUUUGAAAAAAUAACGAUUUUGCUCAAGAAAAAAAAAGAUUAUUUUAUAGAAUUGAUCAUAAUUAAUUGUUUUCUGUGUAUUUUUCCGAAAAUUUCAUUCAAAAACCAAAAUAACCAAACGACAAUUUCUAAAAAAGUUACGGCUAUUUUAAAAUGAAAAAAGCGAUCGUUCAGAAAAAUUCAUAACUUCUUUUGGGUUAGAUAAAAAGAAUUCUCGAAAAUUCUCAAAAAUGUCUUUGAAAGGGUAGAAAAGAACAGAAAAGUUUCAGCUGAAUCUGAAGGGGUCUGGUUGAAAAGUGGUCGAUUUGGCGUGGAAUACCCCCUAUGUACUCGUGUGCACGUAGACGGCGUACGUGACGUAUUUUACGUUGCUUAGUGUAACAAAGUCGGAGGGACGCGUGUGUAGCGCGAAUUUACCGUAUAGUUAAUUCGUUGAACCGAAAAGCGGAUAUGCCAUCGCGGGGAGUUAAUCACCGGUUAUAGUUACACGUCGUCGUUGACGGCUGCCUCUGCUUCUCCUCUACCGAUCGAGGUGACGCCGUUCGCGGUCCGGUAUCUAGGUUAGGGUGCCCGUCGUACACUCUACGGGUGUGACAACCCGAUCGUCGUCCGCGUCAAAAACCUUCGACGACCAUGAAAAUUGUCGCGACGACGUUUCCGGCUAAAAACGGAAGCUAAAAACCGACCAACUCCAUCGACUCUUAUCUCGCUUCUUUUGACCGUAAUUACACAACGACGAUAUGAUGCAUAUGGCGGAUUUGGGGUAGGCGAGCGGGAGGAGAGGAAGGUAGAGGAAAAAACUGAUUGUGAGGGAGAUGAAAGGGAAAGAGGAGAAAAAGCGUGAAAAACCGUGUCAGCACGUGUCUACCAAGAGAGGAAUUACCACAAAGCACAGCGAACAUGGGGUGAAUCAACUAUGCCAUUCAAACAUGAUACAAACUGACUUUGUCACUCAUUAGAAGAACUAGAUCUCUGAACCCCUCUGAAGAUAAUUUAAAUAACAAUACGCUGGGAUGAUGGAGUUGGUCUUUGGCGUGUCCGGUUCUGCUGAUUCUGUUGAUGUAUUUAUUCUUCAAGGGAGUAAUUGUCGUAGGUGGGAAAUUGGCAGCUCCAGAGAAUCUCUUUCCUGCAUUGAGGAAUCAAGACUCAUCGGUGCAUCUGUAUGAUUGUUCAUUAGUGCACCGAAUAAAAAUCCAUAUAUUAUUCAUAAUGUAGAUAUAGAUCAUGUAUAUACUUUCUAAAUUAAUUUAAAUUGUCAUCAGAUAAGAAACCUCUAUGAAUUUUCAUUGUAACACAUUUGCUGUGAAAGAAUAGUUUUCUAUCCGAAUAAAUCCAUAUUAUUCCUAA